UUUAAAACAGCAUGUGAGUGAAGAAGAAAAGCAUCAAUCAGUCUCAUUGGAGACUUCAGAUCCAAAGACUCAAGAGAACUCUAUGUUUUAAUGCGUAGGUUCGGUGAUGUAUGGGCAUGGGUAUAGACGUGUGAUUGGAUAAAUGGGGUAGGUAGGACCUACUGGGAUGGACUGAUGUUGAAGAAGGUCUGCCCAGUAUCUUCCUGGCUCUCAGUGUCGUGCUGCUUUCUUCCAGGUGCAGGGCGGGACAGCUGCCGUGUGAGGGCCUCAUGAUCUAUUUCCAGGGUGGGGUAGGCCAGAGGACCCUUCUAUAGUCAAUUCUCAGAGAGAAAAGCUGAGGAGCUACGUGUGGUGAUCCAUGCCUGUCAUCCCUGUACUCAUGAGGCUGAGGCAGGAGGAUUGUAGUUCAAAGCCAGCUUGGGUUCCAUAGAAAGGUCUGGGCAAGCCUUAAAGGCCAUACCUCAUUAAAGAGAAAAGGAAAGGUGUGGGGGUAACCUCUUGUACACUGUGUGGAAGCAUCACCUGUCAAUCAAAGACUGACGGGCCUAUUAGCAAAAGGCAGGAAAAAGGAAAAGGUGGGAGUUCCGGUAGAGAGCCUGGAACUCUGGGAGAUAGGCAGCGGUGGCGCAUUUACCCUGGACUGUGAGAGCGUCAGGCUCAUGAAAUUGAGGAGAGGAGGAGAUGAACCAUAACCUGGGUCUCCAAUUUAGGGGAAAGCAAGAAGGACAAACGAGUGAUAUGAGACUGACAGCCAUUGGCUUCCAGGGCCAUUUGUAUGGGGACCGGAGGAGACUGGAUCCAGAUAUGGGAUAUGAACUAAACAUUGGUCUUUUGGGCAUCUCAUCUGCGACCUAACAGACUGGAUAUGCACAACCUGUUUCCUGGAUCUCCUGCAGGCCUUGGGACUCAACAGCAUCCAAAAACCACACAAGCCAAUUCCUUAUAAUAAAACCAUCUUUCUCCAUAAAUCUCUCCAGGGCAUUGGUUCUGCGUGUCUGGCACACCUUGGCUGAGGUGGCUUUCGCACAUGAGGCUUGCCAUAUUGUAACAUUGUUUCUCAACCACACAUGAGGCUUGCUGUAUUGAAACAUUGUUUCUAAGCCGUGCUGUUUCACUUGUGUUGGGACCAACCUGCCUCCUGGAUAGGCUUGUCGUUUAGGAGAAAGAGCUUGGGCUAACACUGCUAAUACUUCCUGUGCUGUCGGCCAUCGGAACACUUAUUAUUCUGGAUGAUUUCCCCAUCAGUGAUCUUCCAGUUCCCCGAUUCUCUCUUCAGCUGUUGCUUUCACUGGCUUUGUAAAUUCCAGUCACUAGCUCCCGUGUCCUUGUAGGCUAAGGCUUUAUUUUUUGAAUACCCAUCUGCUCUUUCUCCUUUCUAUAUGAGUCAUGUCCUUAGCUUCUUGGUGAAUCUUUUUAGACAAUCCAUAGUGUUUAUCCUUUAACUCAAAAGGUAUUUAUUUAGCGCAACUCCCCACCCAGUGUUAUGCUUAAUUCAAUUUUUUUAUUGGAACUUUUUCCAUACAAUAUCUUCUGAUCGUGCUUUCCCGUCUCCAAUGCCUCCCAUAUCUUCCAUCUUCCCUGUCUCUCCUCUCUCUCUCUCUUUCUUCUCUCUUUCUUCUCUCUCUCUCUCAUAAAUAGGCAAAACACUUGGCUUGUUAGUGUGUGUGCACAUAUAAGUACCACCAUGUGUGUGUGUGUGUGUGGGGGGGGUGACCAUGCUCAAAGGAUAACUUUCAAGAGUUGGUUCUUUCCUUCAGUCAUGUGGGUCCUGGGGAUUGAAUUCGGGUCUUCAAUCCUGGGAGCAGGUGCCUCACUCACCCUUUGGGCCACCUCACCAGCCUGCACAAGGAUUUUUAAAACUCUUUUCACAGUGCACCAUCAUUUCCCCAGUCUCCUGAUGGUUUACUUUUUAAAUUACAUUCGAUAGGAAUUUGUUGAUUUGUUUUGCCUCACUGCGAUGCGGUCGAUGCGCUGCGUUUGCUUGGCUCUUCUGGCCGUACCCUUUGCAGGGUUUCUUACCCCUGCCUUCUCUCUAAAGGUCUCUGGUUCGGAGCCAAACAGAGUUGUUUCAGAGCUUUCGUCCUCACAGGGCUACUGGGGAUGCUGGGUUCCGAUCUUCCCGACUAGCUAUUGAACCUUAAGUCUAGCCAGGGGCAGACAGAAGCAUCCUGUACCCUAUCUGUAAAGUGAAAGCUGCCCUGCAGCCCUGGAUGGUCCCCAGCCCUGCACAGAGCAUUCUCAUACUGCACAACGAGCUUCCCAGCUCCCCUGUCUCCAAGUCCAGCGUGCUGGGACAACAAGCCCACCCUUCAGUUCUGUCCUGACCAUGAAUAGGUUAUAGUUUCCUUUUGCUUUUAUGUUUUGAGCACAUGAUCGAAACAAAUCUAUCAUUUGUCUGCAUUGAUGCAGGAGAGAGGCUCAAAGCACGAUUCUUGAUAGAUUUCAAUACUCCCUACAGUCUCCUUUUAUCACUUUUUGGCAGUAACCGCCCCCACCCCUGCCCCCAUCUCCUUACAGGGAAGAGUUGCCCAGGUACCUUGGCUUUACAAAGUGUUAUGAUUAGGAAAUCAGAAUGCUUAGCAAUUAAAGGCAAGGACUGAGCUGGAUGUCCACAGUUCAAACCUCACAUCUACUGUUUGAUCACGUGACUUUUAGGCCAAGCUAUUUAAUGCUUUAAGUCCUAAUAGCCCCAUCUGAAAGACAUACCAAUUGUGUAAACCUCCUAAGAUUAUCUGAAAGAUUAAAUGAGAUAAUCCAUGUAAAACACUCUCCCCAGAGUUGCUGGCACACAGUCAGCCCUCAGCAAGUGCCUGCCAUGAUUACAGUAGUUGCCACUGCUGGAUUAGAAUCAGAGCCCAACCUCAGAGGAGCAGCACUUUGUUGAAAGACUCCAGUGGUCUAAGCAUCAGAGGAGAGAAAAGCCAAGGAAUUACUUAAUCACAGGAUUUUCCAGGCACUUUUAGGUCGUGACGGCUGGGUUCCGUAACAAAUCUGUGCUUUGGUUUAGUUGUUAGAUAGCAAGAAAGCAGAGUCCGGGAUUGUUGUACACAUUUGGCCACAGGGAUAUCAACGGUCAAAUGCAGGCGAUGGUUUCUGGGACAGACACUAAAGAUGGAACUGUUUCUUAAACAGAACAUAGGAAACCGCCCCAAGGCAAUUCUGUUUGUAGACUGUAGUGUUUGAAUGAGAUGUCCCCUAUAGUCUUGUUGUUUUAAUACUUUGUUCCUAGUUGGCCACUGUUUGGGGAGCUUAAGGAAGGUGGCCUUGGAAGAAGUGUGUCACCAGAGGUGGGCUUUGAGGUUUAACAAGCCUCCAGCUACUCUUAGCAUGCUCUGUUACCUGUUUCUGGUUUAAGAUGUGAGUUCUCAGCUCCUGCUUCAGCUGCCUGCUGCCUCUGCUCUGCCAUCAUGGACUCAAAUGCUCUGAGAUUGUAAGCUCAAAACAAAUCCUUCCUUCUAUAUGUUGCCCUGGUCAUGGUGUCUUAUCACAAAAAUAAAAAAUGGCUAAUCAUUUUCUCUGCAACAAGUUUGCAGACCAAAAGGAAUUUGCCAAAAUGUAUACAUUUACUGUCUACCAAGAUGUAAAAUAAAUUAAGUUUUUUGUUUGUUUGGACAAGAAAUUUACCAACUUUGGGUUUAUGUUUUCUGUAAUUUCAUGAACCUUUUCAUAGGGACCAGUAAGAUUUGGGCAGCAGCAGAAGCUGGGCCAGAGCCCCCCUUUCCAACUUAGCUACCAUACAGGCCCAGAUCCAGUGCUUGGAAUUGGUCUGCCUCAACAUCUACCCCAUGUGCUAGCUGCUGGGGCAUGUGAAGGGGCUGGCCCUGCAGAACCAGAGCUACAGGACCACUGUGACUCUGCCAACAGCAGGAUAGCUGAGUCUCGGCAAUGGUCCAGUGUUGAUGCUGUGUCAGGAACCAGAGAGUUUGAGCCAGACCAACAACCAUUUGCAAUGACUCCAUUUGCUGAGGGAACACAUCAAAAAGAGAAAGUUCCAGCAUCAUGUCUCAGUUCUGAAGAAGUCAAGAAAAAAGUUGAAGCCUUUUUGGCAAAGGUAGGAUUUGUAGAUAAAACUGGAGCUUCCAGAGCAGACCAUGUGAAACAGGAGAAAGGCACUUUCUGGGAACCCAAUGCCCAGGUGACCGUAGAAAAAGCAAAUGGGUGGCUUUCCAGUUUCCAGUGCCACUGCGAGAGGCAAAUGCUCAGAGGAGGGAAAGAGAGAGGUGGAUAGGGGAACAUGUGGUUGCUGGGUAGCACCAAUAGGGUGGUGUGCAGCAGCCUGGAGCUUGUACUCCAACUCAGCUGCCAAACACAACAUAAUUGCCCUGGCUCUGUGCAAUGACAGGGUGUCCAAGAUGAAGAAGAGUUCAUUUUCUGGAUCAAAAGACCUCCAUGGUCCAUGCAGACCUGGAGGCCACUUUGGUAUCCAUGGUCCUACAGUAGCUUGGAACUGUGUUGAUUCCCCUGGCCCAAGUUACCACCAAAGGCCAGACAGAUGUCCUUAGUCUGGGCCACUGCCUGAGGCCAUGGUGAUGCCUGAGCUGGUGCUGUCACUGAGGGCUAUGAUAGUGUCCUUCUUCACGCAGUGACAGAGGGCCACGUUGAUAUCCGUGAUUCAUGCUGCCACCAGAGACCAUUCGGAAGUCCGUGAUCCGUGAUCCUGCUGACUGUAAAGGGCAAAGACGCUUCUUUCUCAGUGGUAUCGAUGACUGCAGACUCACAGUUGAGAGAGAGGGAUAUAGAAGGCUUCUGUGGCAACCCCUACAUCCAUCUACCCACCCACCCCCAAAGUAACAGCCUAGACAGAAAGCCACUGAAGAGAACUCUUAAAAAUUGUAGUAAGGAUGCUGAAGUAUAGCUCUCCAUACGUGAUGGCUUCUGGAGGGGGUGCAGGUGGGGAAGGGCUCAGUUUUCUUUAUGCAGAUGGACACCAAGAGUGUGACCAUGCUCCAGUGACGGCUCAAACUAGUCUUGGUUUCUCCUCCUCCUCCUCCUCCUCCCCCUCCUCCCCUCCUCCCCCUCCUCCCCUCCUCCUCCCCCUCCUCCUCCUCCCCUUCUUCCUCUUCCUCCUCCUCCUCUUCUUUCUCCUCCUCCUUCUCCUUCCCCUUUUUUCCUCCCCCUCUUCCUCCUUUUUAUUUUGCAGGGGAAGAUCACAGGGUGGGGAGGAGGACCUGGGAGGACUGGGAAGUGAGUGUGCUUGGAGUUCAGGAUGUGAGACUCUCACAUAGUCAAUAGCAAUAUUGUGAAAAUCCAAAAAAAAUCAAUAAUUAAAUCUUUAAAUAAAUAUCCUAAGAGUUAGGGAGAAAGUGGUAGAAGACCAUGCUUUUCAAUUUUCUCUCUUUCUUUAUUUGGGCACUAUAGGAAAGCCCAGUUGGGUUUGGACGCAGGAAUGAGGAGUGCUUAUUGCUCUGCAGAGGACCCUGGUUCAGUUCCCAGCACCCACAUGACAGCUGCGAGGCCCUGUAGCUACACUUCAGGGGUACCUGACGCCCUGCCCUCAUCUUGCCUCAGCAGGCUCCUGCACAAGUGUGAUGCACAUGAGCUAGCAUGAGUGUGUGCAUGUGCACAUAAAUAAAUAAAUAGAAGUUUGAAGUGUGAUUGUUGGCUGUGAGAUAAGAAAACUAGAUCUGCUUUUAAUGAAAUGCCACACUUUUGCUCACCUACAAGACAUUUAGUUGUAAGCUCUGAACUGGGAAAUAUAACUUUGCUUAGUCUACAGGCCAACCAAAAGUAAGAUUAAAUGUGGUGUGGCUGAGGUGUGGAAACAGGCACUUUUGACCAAACAGUUCUCAGUAGACACAGUUUUUGAUUGACUGGGAAGUAGUUAACUUACUCAGCUGAGCACCCAUCAGUGGUUGUGGACGGUGGUAUGUAUACCCUAGCUUUCUUCCUGCGCUGUAGUAACUCCCUACUGGUUUGUGUAGCCAGAACAACCGGCCACCCCAGUGGGGAUAUUAAACAUAACACUGACGGGGCUUCUCCACAUACAACUUUGAUUAGCCAAAUACAGAAAAGAACUUAUCUUCUACGAUUACGGCAUUCCACAGGCUUUACCCGGAAAACUUGAAGCACAUUACUUUGACGUCGGAGUUUCAGAGCAUCCCCAUCUCUCUCUGAGUUGUCUCAGGAAGGCACCUGGAACCAAGUUCCUGACUCAGGCAAGAUUCCGCCGUGCACAGGAGCUUCUCGGACGAGCAGGCAGCUCUCAGCUCCUGGGUAGGUUUAUUCCAGAACGCACCUCAGAUACAGCAUAUGUGUUCCCCUGUUACCUGAGCUCUUCCCACGGAACCCUGGACUGUGGAAGCUAAAUAUGCACGGUAACUAUUGUAGCAGAAGACAUGGGAGAGCAUGUCCAAUCCUCUUUUUUAUUUUCUUUCCCUUGAAAAGCUAUAACCUCCCACCUCUCUAUUCCCCAAUUUCCAAAUAAAAUUAAACUUCAUUAUUGUUUCCAUUAAAAAAAAAUACUCACUGAGUC
Molecule: long non-coding RNA, 6472 nt
Organism: Mus musculus (house mouse)
Lineage: Eukaryota; Metazoa; Chordata; Mammalia; Rodentia; Muridae
Product: predicted gene, 41492
Exons: 3
Source: RefSeq, a predicted model, not a curated record